AAUACGCCAUUUGAAGCAAUGGUUCUUAGAUUUUUUGAUAACACUGUAAACGAUCGGUGCAUCGUUUUUUCAGAUAACUGACAACAGAGUGAAUGAGUGAAUGAGUGAAGCAAUGGUUUGGCGGCGAGUAGCGAAUCUGUGGGUGGGUGGGUUAAACAUAUUCCUUCGUUCCAACAACAAACAACUAUACUAUUUAUUUAUUUAUUUAUUUAUUUAUUUAUUACGCCCAAUAAAAUAAUAAUAAUAAAAAUAAAUAAAUAGAACCUAAAACCCAUCACUCUCUCUCACUUCGUUUUUUCCGCUUCCAUCUCUAACCAACGCAACCACCACCGUCUUCUCCUCUGUAAGCUCUUCCAUUCUUCAUCACUUUUUCUUUAAUAUAGAUUUUACUAUUAUUAAUAUACUCUGCAAUUUAUCUCAACUAGUUAUGCUAUUACUAUACCCUUCAUCAAAUCAAACCUUCAUCAGGGUUUAUCUUUCUUCAUAAAUCUCAUCAUUUUCUACCAAAAACUAUCUUCAGUUAUUCAUUAUAUCCUUUAGGAAUCUAGGUGUUGUUAAUUAUUCUUGAAACAAACCAAGAAAUCUCUAUUUGAUGGGGUUUUGGGGUUUGAUUUGACAGCUCUAGGGUUUUGUCAUUUUGUGCUUAUGAUUUUGUUUUUUUUGUUAUUGUGCUUGGCUGGGAUUUUGAUCUCGUUGGAGAUUUUCCUGCAAAGACACAAUCUUUCAUUGUUUUGUUGAUUGGGCACAAAUCAUAUUUUGAAGGUGUUCCGGUGAGGUGAGUAUCCGGUGGUCCGUGUAUGACAUGUGUCGAUGUCAAUAUGUGUGGUUACUUCCGUUACUUUCAUUUUUAAAAAAAUUCUUAUUGGUGCUUUGUGUUUCAAUCGGUGUUUCGUAGGGGGAAAUUGAGUGGUGUUUUAGAGUAUGUCUUUAGGACUGGUUAUGAAAGAAUUUUUGUUUUAUGAACAGCAAUUGAUCGUUAGAAUAUUGACUUCGAGCAUAAAAUGAGGUCAUUUUGUUAGGUAUGAUGUUUUGAUUGUAAACUUGGAGCUUCGAGUGAAGAGCAGAGAGUUACAAUCUUGCUUCUUCUCAUACAGCUCCAUAAAACAAUAGCCGUUUAUCAAACAGGAAUGAAACCAAUUUCAUUCUUUUUGUAAAUUUUUAUGGCAUAAAUUCGUUUGACAUUAUCAACAACAUUGGUAUUAAAUCAGUUUACGCAGAUGAUAGUUGAAGGUUUUCGCUAGUAUUUUUUUCUUCACCAAAGUUUGAACUCUGGUCCUUUAAUCCUUUGCUCAAACCAGUUAAACUACCCAACCUAUGAAAUAAGCAAAGAUAAGUGUUAGAAACUAAGACCUGGCAAGCUAAACAAUAAAUGCUUGGACGCAAAGAUAAGCGUUAGAAUUUAAGGCCUGGCAAGCGAAACAAUAAAAGCUUAGACUUAACUGCUACUGUGGGAAUGGCCACGUUCUGCUUUUUUUCUUUCUUUCUUUCUUCCUUCAGAAUUGGUAAUCUAAGGGUGUAAAUCUAUUAACACUUCUCGCACUCUUCAAUAAUUGUGUCUUGUAUAAUAAAAUAAACCACUUUAUUUUGUUAAAUAUAAAUUCUAUUAUAUUGAUUUAUUUUCAGGGCAACAAUGGCAUCCAUCUCAGCUGUGAAUAUUUCCCCACUAUGCAUGUUUCAACCCGCAAACCGCAUUCAAUCAACCAGCACUACCUUAGUGAAGUGCCCUUCCGCUUUUGGCUCUAUGAGAAGUGUUUCCAGAUCUUUUGGCUUGAAGUCAUCCUCUUCAUAUAGAACAACUGCCAUGGCUGCUUACAAGAUUAAGCUAAUUAGACCAGAUGGAGAAGAGGACGAGUUUGAAGCCGCUGAUGAUGUCUACAUCUUAGAUGCAGCAGAGAAUGCCGGAGUCGAACUCCCUUACUCGUGCCGUGCUGGAGCAUGCUCUACUUGUGCUGGAAAGGUUGUUUCUGGCUCAGUGGAUCAAUCUGAUGGCUCAUUCUUGGAUGAUACUCAACUUAAGGAAGGCUUUGUGCUUACCUGUGUUUCCUAUCCCACAGCAGACUGUGUUAUCCAAACUCAUAAGGAAGGUGAUCUCUACUGAGAAAUUGUGGCUUGAAAGUUAAAACCAUUGCUCGAGGAAACUGAGAAUUUAAGGUAGAUUUUAUGGCGGAUUUUGCUUUAGAAUCUAUCUUUCUUUUAGCAUUAUUAAUAGUGAUAUGGGAUAAUGGAUAUUUGAUUGUGUGCAAGCACUAGUUUUUAGAAGAUGGUAAGUUUGACAUUUAAAUGUGAUCAAGGGUGUUAUUUUAGUUAUGAAGAACAUAAUGAAGUAUUUGGAGGAAGAAACAACCUUUCAUAAUUGGUAGAGAAAUUUCACUUUCUUGUUAAAAUAAACAAAAUCUAUCUUGUUAUAUCAAUUGUCAAUAGCUGCUAUUUUAACUUACCUCAACUUAUUUCAUUAAUUGAAAGAUGUGGCAAUUUUCAACUAGGGAAUAAGUUGUUAUAGUUUAUUUUUUCAGUUGGUUUAAAUUAAGUUAAAUAUAUAAAUAACCUGCAUAACUCAAUUUAAAUAGUAACUAUUUUUUGAUACGAUUAACAGUGAAAAAGCUAGCAAAUUUGAAGAUUUGAUAUUAUUGUCCUUUGCAAUGUUUACCGUGUGAUUAAAAAUUCAAAUCAAAUUGAAUCAAAUAUAUGGAUUAGUUUGAUUUUUAAAAUCAUUUUGAUAAGAUUGAUUUAUUUUUUUUAUGUUUGGAUCGGUUUGGUUAAUAACCGGUUUUAAAUAGAUUUUGAUUUUAAUCAAAAUUAUUUAAUUUAAUUUAAAUUUUAUUUUCUUUAAAUUAAUAUUAAUUUUUAAAAUUUAAAAAUAUAAAUAAAUUUUAUGAGAUUUUAAAAUAUUAUUUCUUUUAAAAUUUAAAAAACAUAAAAAAACAAAUUUUUUAGAAAAGAAAAUUGAAAAUAAUAAAAUUAUUUUCUGAAAGUUAUUCCAGAAAUAAUAAAAUAAUUUAAAAUCGAAAAUUAUCUUUAAAAAGAAGUUAUUCCAAAAAAUAAAAAUAACUGAAAAAAAUUUAUUUAAAGAAAAAUAGAAAUGGGAAAUAAAAAAAUUCUGAAAAUAAAAAAUAAUUUUUAUUCUGAAAUUAUAAAAAGUUUUAAAAAAAAUUGAAACUAAAAGUUUUUUUAUUCUGAAAAUUUGAAAAAUUAACCUUUUUGAAAAUUAAAAAAAAUAUCAAAACAAUUUAUUUAAAAAGAAUCUAAUUUUUUUUACUGAAAAAAAUAUAAAAUAUUUUUUAUUUAGAAAAAAAUAAUAAUUUUAUUUGAAAAAACAUAUCAAAUAUAAUUUUUUUCAAAAAAAUUCUGAAUAUAAUAUUUUUCGUGAAAAAUAUUUUUAAAAUAAUAAAAUUUAAAAGUAUUUAAAAUAUAAAAUUAAUUUUAAUGUGAUAAAAUAUGAAAAGAGAUAAAAAUAAAAAUUUAAGUAAAAUUUGGAUAUCCAAUAACAAAAUUAAAUUUUUAUAAUGGAUAACGGUAUCCAAAUUUUUAUUUUAAUAUUUGAUUUGAUUUUUUAAAAGUGGAAUAAUUUGGAUACUAAUUUGAUUAUGAAUAAUCGAUUUUUUGCACACCUUAUAUAUUAUAGUCAUUUUUCUUGCUAACUAAAUAUUUAUUUUCACAGCUUAUAAGAUAUUUUGCCAUGUCAGCAUCUUUGUAAUAAAUUAUACGAAUUAAUAAAAAGGCAUAAAAAUAAUGAUUUCGAACCACAGGUCAAAUUUAAGAAUCUAUUACUAGUAAAAUAAGUGUUAACAUCUUAUACCGUCCACUUGAAAUAAUUGAUUUAUAAUUAGUUUUAUAAAAAUAAAAUAUUUAAACACUAAUAUAUUUUACUCCAAAAAAUAUAAUAACAUAUAUAACAAAUUAUUUAUACAAUAGCAACUAAGUUUUAUUCCACUAAUGUGGUCUUAUCUUUUGGACUAUAGUUUUUUUUUUAAGUCUUUCUCUGUAUCCAAGUGUUUGAUUCAAGUACAUUUAACAUAUCUUCUUUAGAAAAUUGCGUAAGACACCGUAAAGAUGGUUACUAUACUUUUGUGAAAAAAUAAAAAUAUUUUUAAGAUUCAGAGAUGUAUUUUUAGACGUUCCCAAAUAUAUUUGUUCCUCAGUCUGAUCUUAAGACUAUGUAAAAAAAUUACGGAAAUUAAUCUUCCUAUAAAUUAUGGAGAUGCUUCUCUUAACACUAUUUUAAUAAAAAAUACGUCAGAUUCUUUCUCCUUCCUCGCUUCUUAAAAUACUCUCUCAACUCCUAUUCUCUCAUAGUCAUUCAACUCACUUUAAAUUUUCUUUCAUCAACAUCAAAUCGAUCAAAGAGCUUACUCAACAUCAAACUAAACUCACAAUUGAUAAGUUUAUAAUUUUUCUAUUUUUUUAUUUCUAUAUACAUUUGUAGGAGUUGAACAUUAAGUUAUGUAAUAUGUAAUUUAGAUAUGUUAGUGAAAUGAAUAAUGUGUUUAAUAGAUAGUUUAAAUGAUCAAUGCAUUAUUUUGGAUGUUGGUAUAAACUGCAUUUCCGCCAUUAACUUAUGGAGAUGCAUCUCUAGAUUUUUUCAAUGUUUUGAUUUCUAGAAUCUAGAGAUGUAUCUGCCGAAACUUUUUCAGUUUGCUUUGUUUGGCUGAUCUCAUUGUGUUUCAUAUGUAUAAUGCUUGUGUGAUUUACUUACAGACAAUAUGGUUGAUAACCUAGAUAGAUUGAGGCAUAACAGAGUUGCACAUCAUGCAUAGAGGGAAAAAGCUUGAUCAUCGCAUGCACCUGUUAUUUUUAGCCCGAUUGAUGCGAGGGCGUCAACUUCUGAGGCUCAUGCAUUUCUACCUUACAUGUGUCACCUACUCAGACACCUGAGGCACUGGAGGCACCUGAGGCACACGAGGGAUUUGGAGGAGGUCCGUCAGACUUAUUACUCCCGCGUCUAUACCCGAACCAUGAUGCCAGACAUGUCUAGGACGAAAAGGUAAAAUUAAGUUGUAUUCCUUCUUUGAAAUAUCAUUUUUAUAAUAUUCGAAGUUUUCGACGAUGAGUUAUUUUCCUGCAGGACCAUGAUGCUUUAAAAUUUAAAUGAUAGAGGGGAAGAAUCAAGCCGCCAAACCUUGGGGCUUUGAUUCUCCAAUGCAAGAGCUACAUUAUGGUAUCAAGAUUCAAGCAAACUGAGGCGAAAGAAAAUUCACCGACAUGCAAGAUAGAGGUUUGUCUUGGAAAUUGUUGAAAUCUAAAGGUGCUGAAGAUGAAGAAAACCAGAGGUAUGCUACUUUGAACCUUCAAUCUUCUGCUUCUGCAAUGAACUUCUUCCUCCUCAAGAAUUAAUUACGUAAAAUUAUGAACUAGAUUAUUGUUGCUAUUGUUGAUUGUAUGAGUAUAACAAUAGUAUGGAGUGUAGAAGGUUUAGCUCAAAUGGUGACAAACUUCAAUGUGAAGCUUGCUCCAAUGGUGGUAGAGCUUUGGUGAGGCGAGGGAGAUAAAUUGAGAGAGACAAUUUUGAAUUUAUAGUGGAAUGUUUAGAGAAUGAAUGAUUAUGGUGAUUGUUGUUAUCGAUGUUAUUGGUUGAAGAGUGUGGUGAGUUUAUAUAGAUGAAUUUCCCAACUGUUUCGGGCAUCUCUGUUAGAGGUUAGGGCAAUAGUUAAUGUUAAUGGAUUCCAAGAGUAAGUUGGUUAUGAAAUUAACAGAGUUAGAGUUUCUGUUAGAUUGAAUUUGACAGUUGGAAUGGUCAAUGGAGUGGAAUUUAGGGACUGUUAUGACAUGUUGGUGAGGUUAGGAUUGAAGUGAAUUAGUGUAGUUCAAGUGUUGGUGAAUGUUUGUGAUGUUGUUGUAAUGCUUAGUUCAAAGAUAGGAAACCGCUAGUGUUGAUGCAUCAUGUUCAUGUGUUGUUAUGUGAACAUGUUGUAGGAAUUGGACUUGUUUUUUAGGGUUUGAAAUGGGACUGUGAUGCUGAAAUUAAGCUGAAAAUUGAAAAAUUAGCAGGUGUAACCGGUUACCAGGUUUUGUGUAAUCGGUUACUAGAAUGAAAAAAGGUGUUUUGGGCUGCUGAAUAAGUUGAUGAAACACAUGUGUAACCGGUUACCAGGUUUUGUGUAACCGGUUACCAUAAUGCAAACAUGCCUCUGGGUGUUGGAAAAAUACAGGUGUAGCCGGUUACUAAAAUGAAAACUUGGCUUUCUGGUGAGCUGAAGUAGGUGUAACCAAUUACCAGGUUACCAACUCAAAAAUUGACCCUUUUUAGUGUUUUGGUGCAUUGGCUCAUGUGUGAAGCAUAAGGUCUUGGCCUUUUUCUCAUUGUGCAUGUUAUUUUGCAGGGUUGGUCGUGAAGCAUUAUCUAUGAAGGUUCAGCAAGACGUGUGGAUUUGACAAGAAGAUAGACCAUGGCUUAUGAUGGGUUGACCUUGGUAAACUAUUUGACCAAAAAGUCAACAAUUGACCAAAGGUCAAUUGUAAGUCAAAAAGAUGAAAUUUUGUAUGCAAAUUUGUAAUUUGGAUCCUUUGUAAUGAAAUAGAUUUUGAAAUGAAAGGUGUAUGUAAAUUUUGUUUCAAGAAAGCAAGGCUCCCUUCCAAAUUUACAUCUCUGAAUAUUUGAAUUUGCCUUGAAUAUGACUUUGAAUGAACCUAGAAUUUGAAUUUCUUGAUCACUUGAAUGAAGUGAUAUGCCAUGGAUCAAACAAAUCAAAGCCCAAGAUAAUCACUAUCUUCCAUAUACUAUGUCAUGAUGUAAUCAACACAACCACAAGCAUAUACCGAAGAUUAGAGUUCCACAAACUUGAUUCACAAGAAAUGAACCAACCAUCACUGUUGUGCCAACAUCACUUUUGUAUCAUAAUUAGCAACACUCUUGAAUCAAUGAUGUUUAUAUGAAGAAUGAAAUUGUAAAUGAAUGCAUAUGGCAUGGACAUGCAAAUGAACUGAGGGUUAAAAGUCAGAUGAAAAAUGAAAAAGGGAAGGCAAAUUUUGGGGUAUGAUAGCUGCCCCUAUUUAAUCUUCUUCGACCUGUAUGUACAAAUGGUGAUGACCGUUCGGGAACUUAAGGUAGAAGAGGAUUAAGGGCCCGUUUGUUUUGGCUUUUUUUUUAAAAUGAUUUUUAUAGUGUUACAUAUUUUAGUGUAAAAAAAUUUACAAAGAAACUUUUCAUAAAAGUUUCAAAUGAAAAUUUGGUUUGAAUAGUUAUUCUUAAAAUAUUAUUUUAGAUAUUUUAUCAUUUUAUCGAAACUUUUUUUGGAUAUCAAAAUUUCAAAAAAUCACUUAAUUUUGAAGCUAUUUCAAUUAGCUUUUCAUAAAAAUCAUUUUUAAGAUACACUUUUUUGAAAAAAUUGUGAUUUUGACUAUGUUUUGAUAUUCAAUAAUAUAUAUUUAUGUUAUAGAAUGAACAAUUCAAUCUUUUAAUUUAUAAAAAACAAAUUUAAAAAAACUUAUAAUAUUUUAAAAGAAAUUUUUGUAGAAUCCAUUUUCAAAAUUACAAAGAAAAAAUCCAUUUUUUAAAAGUUAAAACAAAUUGGCCCUAUAUACAAGAAUAUCCAAAAAUUUGUCUGUUGAGGAUGAAGUGAAUGGGGUGUGAGGAAGGUAAGUGUAUUGGGUAUUUGUUUAUGACAGGUAAACUUUUGUGAUGUCAUCUGAUGGGGAUUGAAUGAAAUAUUAUGUUAGGGAAAUAACUUAGUCGCAAGGGAAAUGUUUGAUAUGCAUGAUAUAUGCAAAGUAUGAUUUUUUUUUUAUGAUGCAUGAAUAUGGAAAAGUUUGUAUAUAUGAUGUGUGUGCAAAGAAGCAAAAUCCUAGAAGAGGAAAUUACAAAAAAUGAAAAAUAAAAGUAAAUGGAAAUGGGAAAUUUAUAUGAAUUUCCAUUGGUUUCAACAUAGGCUAUCACCCCUCUAAGAUAUGGGUCUCAACACUUUGCUUCGGUUGACGAUGAUUGGGUCGAUUUGUUGUCGUCUGAGAUCUAGUUGUGAUGAAGUAGGCUCAAGGUUGCAGCCAAAUGCCUUUCUCCCUAACUUUUUCCUGAACAUUUUACUCUUUUUUUUGUCCACCGGGAUACCCAUUUUUUCCCUUUCGUAAGGAGCAUUAUGGAACAACAAGACAACCUAAGUGCAUCGUCGUCCUCUCACGGGGUUCCCAUCCAACCAUGACGGGUGGGGGAUCUUCCUCAUAGCAUGGUGAUUCUCAAGGUCCCAUCCAUCAACCAGGGAACUAAGAACCCUUUUAGAUAUCUUUCGGUGGCCGUCUAGAGGCAGUCAAAGGUUAUUCUUAAUAGAAUGAUUGUUUGAUAUGGGUCGAAUAUGAGUCAAUAUCCAACGACAUCCACUAAGCCUUAAGGGACAAAUACAAUCCCACCAAACCCAUAUAUUCUUCCAAUAGAAGGCGUUCACUCCAUAGGCCCCAUAAACAUUAGGAUCGUCAUUAAGGAUGAUACGGAGGAUCAUGGCUCAAGAGACGAUUCAUUGUUCUAACAAAAAAACAACUAAUCCCUACGAUCAUGUGGAUACUGUGUCGAUAUCAUCCUCACAAUUUGAAAUCCGAAGGGACCUGUCAAAUGCAAGAUUUUCAUUUGUACUGUAGAAGUAUUCCUUAAAACUUUUAGGUGAUGAAGAGAAAAAAACCAAAAAUCAGAAAGCCAAAAAGCACUCUGGUUUGGGCAGUUUGCGGGUAUCAGGUUUGGUCAGUUCAGUUCAUAGAUUCAUUCAUCAAUGUUAGGAUAUUCUAUCUUAAUUUAGAGAUACUCUAAGAUACUCUAAAUUAAUAUAACAUAUAUUAUACAAUAUUUAUAAUAUUUAAAUUAAUAUAAAAGAUAUUAUAAUAUAUCUAUAAUAUUGUUAUUCUAAUAGUUAUUGGGUUAUGUUUUUGGCCCAUUAAAGAUCUGUUGGGUUUGAGCAGAUAUAAAUAUGUAUCUUUAUCACUCUUAUCUUCAUAACCUUCAAAACUUUAUUAGCUGAAGACAUAGAAAAGAAUUUGAGAAUCCUAGUGGUAAACUUAGAAAAUGCAAGGGUUAAAAUUUCUUGGAGUUCUUUGAAUUUGGAAAGCCUUUGGAGGUAUUUAAGGGAUCUGGGAAAUACUUCUAAACACCUUGGGCUUGUGUGAUAAUAUAUUGAGAGUUGGAGAGAAUAGGAAACACUUGGAUAGAAAUAAGGUUUUGUUUGUGGUAACUCAAAAGGCUUUUUCUUGUAUCUCAUUUGUAAUCUCUUGUAACAACUUUUGGAAGUAUACUGAAUCAUAGAGCUUAUCUAUCCCUCAAAGUAGAUCGUUUGAUCAAAUUGGGUAAACAAAUUAUUAUGUUCUUGUCUUUUAUCUUCUUCUGGCUUGCAGUCGUUUUGGUUCCACUUUUGGCCGGUCAUUGUGUUUCUCUAGGCCAUUUAUUUUGGUUGUCAUCGUUUUUUGUCUCCACAUAUCGAAUUUCUAGGCGUGUUUAAACUCUGAGUAAUUCUUCUUAAUUGUUUUAAGUUAUUAUACUAGUUUUUCACAACAAGUGGUGCCCACCGUGGAUCAAGGGGGGAGUGGGGCAUUGUUUACAAGUGUACACCAUGGGUAAAUAAGAGAUAGAUAAAUUUUCUACAAAUAACGAUUUUGGGUUGUGAAAACUGAAGAUGCAAGCAAUAUUAACUAAAGAUAAGUUUAUUUAAGCAUUGAAGCGCGAGGAAUGGAUGCCUCCACACCUAACACAAAUAGAGAAGACCAAGAUGGUAGAUAAGGCCAGAAGUGCCAUUAUCUUGUGCCUCAGGGAUAAAGUUCUAAGAGAAAUCUCCAGAGAGAAAGAUGCAGUUUCAAUGUGGGCACAACUUGAAUAAUUGCAUAUGACCAAGUCUUUGGCUCACAGGUUGUGUCUGAAACAACAACUCAACUCAUUUCAAAUGGUAGAGGACAAAUAGUGGAGCAGUUGACAUAAUUUCAUAAGAUUAUUGAAGAUGAGGACAAAGCUCUACUCCUGUUGAUCUCAUUACCCAUAUCAUUUGAUCACUUUAAGGAUGCCUUUAUUUAUGGUAAGGAGGGUAUUAUGACUUUGGAUAAAGUUCAAACAAAUGUGAGGUCUAAAUAAUUUUCAAAGGUGAAAUAUUUGAAGAUUGAUGAUAGCGAUGAAUAAUUGAGUGUAUAAAGAGGAUGAAGAGAGGGUAGAGGGAUGUCUAAAUCAAAUAGGUUUGACAAGUAAAAUUAAAAUGUUUUACUUGUCAGAAACCAAGCCACUUCAUGAGGGAAUGUUCUGAGAGUAUGGGCAAUGAUGGUUCUAUUUAUAAUGAAGUUUCCUCAGAUCAGGAUAGUUAUGAGAGUGUUGGUGCAUUAUUGGUGUCGAGUUUGGAGGCCGAAGAGAGUUGAGUAAUGAACUCAAAUUUCUCUGAUCACAUGUGUCCAAUAAAAUAAUAUUUUUAGACUUUGAAGCUAAAGCAAGAUGGAGUAGUUAUCCUUUGUAAUAAUAAGACUUGUAAUGUUUAUGGUAAUUGUAUAGCCAGACUUUAAAUGUUCAAUGAUCGUGAGUUUUUUCUUAACAACGUGGGGUAUAUUCCAUAACUCAGGAAAAAUUUGUUAUCCAUAAGCAUAUUUGAUGAUCUAGGAUAUUGCACUAGAGUUGAACCUGGGGUGUUGAAGAUUUCUCAUGGUGAAGUGAUCAUAGUUAAAUGAUCUAAAAUAUGUUGUUUAUAUAUUUUAUUUGGUUCUAAUGUUGUUGUUCAGUCAUCAUCAACUAGUAAAGACUUUCGUGAUAAGAACAAGCUAUGGGAUUUGAGAUUAAGACAUGGUAGAUACCUGGAGGUUGUUUCAGAGCACUUUAAUGAGUUUUGCAUAAAACAAUGAUAAAUAUGCAUUUGGACACUAAGUUGUCAUUGAGUUUUUGGGGUAAGGAUGGUGCCAAAAUAACUUACUUGGCCAAUAUGUGUUCAUUUAUAUGAAUAUAAUUCCAAACACUUAUGGUGGUUUGUAGUAGGAAAUCUGAAAACUACUCUUAUUUGAAGGUUGCCAAAACUUUGUUUAUUGAUCAAAUCAAGCCUGAUCGCCUUGAUGGUAAAGUUGUAGAUUGUUUCUUCAAUGACUAUCCAAAAGGAAGGAAGGUUUAUGAAUUUUUGGAUGUAUAACUUAGAGGAUUGAAUUUCAUCAAUCACAAAUGUAUUACUUUUAGUGACUCCUGUCAGGAGAAGAAGAGUAAAAGCCUUAGGAUGAAGACUUUAGAAACUAUGGUGGAGAAAACUCAGUUUGAGGUGGAGUUCCUACUAUGGAUACUAGUAAUAAUGAGGAAACAAUUACAAAAGCCUUUGGUUAUCAUUUGACUCGUGAUAAAAUAAAGAAGGAGAUUGUACCAUCUUAAAGGAAGGAUUAUGCUGGCCUUGGGUGUUAUGCUUUGAAUGUGGCCGAAGGGUUGCCAAACUCAAAAACAGAAACCUUCACCGUGGCAUUCAAAAAUAGGUGAAGUCAAAGAUAAUUGAAGAACCAUGCUUGUGAGCUUGUUAGACUACUAACACAAAAAAAGGUGAUUGGAAGAAAGUUGAUGCACUUGGAGAGGUCAAGGUUCAAGGAUGCCUUGAACUUGAUCAAGGUUGUUAAAUAAUGUUUCAACAUGGUAUAGUGCAUCAAGGUGGUUGAUGGAUAAAUUGACUUCAUUACAGUUUCAAGUCAAGGAGGAGAUUGUAGAAGUAUGUCUUAAAACCUUUGAGUGAUGAAGAGAAAUAAAACAUGUUUCGAGAUUGCCAUAAAUUAAAAAGUUAAAAAGCAAUAUGAUCUAGGUGGUUCGUGGGUAUCGAGUUUGGUUAGUUCGAUUCAUGGAUCUGUUAAUUAAUGUUGAUUUAGAGAAACUCUAAGAUACUCUAAAUUAAUAUAAAAUAUAUUAGAGGAUAUUUAUAAUAUUUUAAAUUAAUAUAAAACAUAUUCUAAAAUAUUUAUAAUAUAUUUUUAAUAUAACACCCUAAACCUCAAAAUUUAUAUAAAAAUGUUUAAUCGACAAUUUAAGGUGUCACCAACGAUCAACACCAAAAACUCAUCAAAAACAUGUGACAAAACGCAUAGGAAUUCAUAUCAUAACAACUUCAUUUUAAACUUCGUAAAUAAAGUAUUGGACUUUAAAGCACAUAAUUCAACAUUAACUCAAAGCAUAACAAAAAAACACCAUGUUGCCGAUGUUACAAGAUCAGAGAACUAAAACCACUAAAUUGCGAUAAAGCGUCAAAUAAAAUGAAGAAUAACUCCAACAAGCCACCUUCCACACACAACAACAACUUUAUUCCUGAUUAUUUGCAAGAUGUCCACGGCGGACAACAUUAAGCAAAAGGUGUGAGAAAUAAACUUCGAUAUAAAUGGUGUAAAUAUGCAAAGGUAGAGAAACACACAAUAUAUCAUACAUUCAAUGCACAAUCAACAUCACCAUAAUCUCACACCUGUUCAUAAUAAUAUUCAAAUAUAUGUAAUGCGACUCGUGAUACUAUGCAUAUGGUACCAACUCAACAUUUGGUUUUCUCAUGAAUCAGGUUCCCCCUUCUGAACCCAUGAGCCCCUCCUUAUGAGCUUAGGAAAAAACCCUAGUCCCUCCUUCUGAAUUAGCGAACGUGCCUCUUUCAACAACACGACACAAUGAUGCAUGUCCAUACAAAUCAAUACAACAACAAUAAUAAUGCUUACGGUCCCUAUUCUAACCAUAAAUAACAUGCAUUGACACACAAUAGUAAGUCCCUCUUAUGAAUUACUAUCAUCCAAUAAUAACAAUAAUACUCACCAUCAAUACAUAAUUAAUCACCAUAUAAUCAUGCAUUUCAUAACAAUACGAGUCAUAUUCACAUCAUACAACAUCACCAAACAACAGAGCCACAUCGAAUACACAUCCACACAACACUCAAUCAUGUUAAAUCAUCUUCACAUUAAUUCAUCAUUAAUUCAUUCAUUUGCAUAAAUUAAUCAUUUGUUCGUUAUUGUUAACUAUUGUGUGACAAGUGAAACUAUUAAAUUUUCACAAUUUCCAGCAUCCAUAUAGCCUCUUAAUACAUCACUAUUGGAUAGCCAUAUGUGUUAUAUUUCCAAUGCUUUAAACUGCACCUCAUUUGGAUUUAUGGAACUAAAAUUAUGGAAAAAGAAAUUAGAUAACAUAAUAGGAUUCAACUCAAUAAUUUUUCAAAAUUCAACUAGCAUCAAUCAAUUGACAUAUGGGGACAAUCGUUUGACAUUAAUCCCCAUUACAUUCUACCUUUUCCAAUUUUUCACAUUUUGGCUGAGAAUAAUCGAUUGACUUAGGAAAUUAAUCGAUUGACAUAGUUUAAUUUUUUAUAGAUAUUUCUAAUUUUUCACGUGUGCAAUCGAUUGACACGGGAUGUCAAUCGAUUGACAUCACCCCAAAUUCUAAAAAUCUCAGUUUUUCACACGUUAACUUCAUCUUCCCCAUUCCCUAUCCCUCAUACACCAAAUCAUUUCUCAUUAUAAAUAUUCAAACACAUCAUAUCAUGAAUUUUACAGCAUAUAACAAUCUCAUCACAAUUAAACAUGUUAUAGCAUACAAAUUAAGUCAUGAUUCAUAACAAUUGUACACAUAAUUUAUUAAUCACUUUCAUCAAAAUCAUGUUUAUGUUCAAAUUUUCAAAAUUCUAACAAUAAUAUAAAAUCACACACACAUAAACAAAAUAGUAGACACACGAGUUUAGUCAUGAAAACUAGAUAAUCAGGCCUUCAAUAAUCAAUUUUCAGAUCAACACAUAACAACAACGAUUAAUUAAAGAUUGUACGAAAUCCCUAAAGAGAGUAAGGGUCAAUCUUCCUUAUCUUUUAUGUCAAACGCCUAUAUAGAACCUCUUUCUAUCCCCUUACCUCAUAUUUCCAGCAAAAUUUUAAAUUAGAUUGAUGGUUUGUUCCUCCGUAUUCAAGCCAUAACCUCCCUUUUUCUUCCAAAAACUCUAUUUCAUGUAUUGACUCCUCAAAAGUCUCAUUAACCCCUUUUCAUCUCUAAAAACCUAAUUUCAUCUCUUAAUAAUUACAUUAAGGUCCAACUCUACUUAUUUUUCUCACCAUUUCCCUUUUUUUUUUCUAAAUUUUUACUUAAGACAUUUUUUCUUAUUUAUUUUAAUCAAUUAAUCAAAAAGAAUCAUAAAUUCUAAUUAUUUCCAAUUAAUUUAAUUAUUCUAUCCAUCAAAGAGUUCUCACAACACUCCACCAUACACCACAUACACAUACAGAGUGAAUGAGUGAAUGAGUGAAUGAGUGUUUGUUUCGGUGUGCGUGAGCCGAACUACGGUAGCUCUGAUUCUCGUUCCAGACGAGAUACGUAGGCAUAGGAUGCGAUAUCCUAGCGAGCCCUCUCCCCUCUUAUCCCACCUGUGUUGUUUCAGUGUGUGUGUGUGAUGUUUGUGAGCAGUGUAGCAACCUUAUCCUAUCUUUUAGAGCGUGGAUCCCGUCGAGUACGACGGAUGCGUAGGGGUGCUAAUACCUUCCCUACGCAUAACCGACUCCCGAUCCCAUUCUCUUGGUCCUGCGAGACCAUGUUCUUUCCAGGUUUACUUCGAGCGUUUCCUUUCCUCUUUUAGGAUAAAUAACGCACGGUGCGGCUCUGUGUUGUUUGUUUAGCCGCCGGUUAUUUUUCGCGGAUGCGACACUAGGUAGAAUAGGUAGAAUGAAACUCUUAACUUAGAAUAAUUACAUGUUUUAUAUAUAAAAUAAAUACAUUCAAAUGAGUCAAUGUAUUUCUUUGAUGAUAUGACAUUUUGUCAUGUAUUUGUAGUUUUAUAAAUCUCAGAGUGCAUUGAUAAAUGGAUGUAUGAAGAAUUAAUACAAAUCUUUAUAGGUAAAAUAAAACUAUAUUACACUACUUACUACUAAUUUUACUAUCUUUUUAUCUAAAAAAAUUCUAAUUUGAGAGUCUUACAUUUUUUCUUUACCCUGGAGAAACAAUUGCAGGGAAAAAGAAAAUACUUCGUAUAAAGAUUUCAUGUUCGACAUUCCUCUUAAUAGUACUUUGUAUGCUUUAAUAUAAUUUUGAAUAUCUUUGUUUAUCAUUUUCAAAGUGUAAUAAUAUUUUUUUUAAUGCUACAUACAAUAGAAAUCUCAUAAAAAGAAAAAUUUACAUUUAAUUUUCUUUGAUGUGUGCAUUAAAAAAAGCGGGCAGACGAGAGAGAUAGAGAAAGAGAGUAAAGGGAAUAUUGAUAUAACAUGAUAUUUAUUCAUAGGGGAUUUUGGUAAACAAUACGAAAGUGGUUUUUCCAUAAAAGAAAGAUGAAUAUAGGGAAUUUUGGUAAGCAAUACGAAAGUGGUUUUUCCAUAAAAGAAAGAUGAAUAUUUAUGAUUAUUACCGUUGCAUUCGAUCAUGAUUUUGGUAAAAAAUACGGGCAUCAUUACAAACAGACAUUUCCAAGGGAUCAUAUAUAUAUUUAGGAUGGAAGACUUAAUUUAGAACUCUUACUAUUUUUAAAGUAUAAUAAUAUUAUUUUUAAUAUGACGUACAAUAGAAAUCUCAUAAAAUAAACAGACAUUAAUUUUUCUCCGCUGUGCGCAUUAAAAAAAAGUGGACAGACGAGCACGGGAGUGCCCGUCUGAACGCUAGUGUGUUAUAAAAUUAAUUAGAAACAAUAUUAUCUAUAUGUGUAAUUUAUACUAAAAUAUGGAUUCUAAUUAUAAAUAAAUGGGAUAAUAAUAUGAUAAAAUUAAUCAAUUUUUAUUAGCGGUUAAGAAAACUAAUUAUUAUUUAAUAGUGAGAGCUUAUUGGGAGAUGAUUUAUUUAGGAUUCACAAUGUAUAAUAAUGUAUUAUUUAUAACACUUUCUUUUAAAUAUUUAUAGAAUCUAUGUCUCGUUAUAAUUUUAUUAAAAAAAAUUUAGUGAAAAAAUAUAAUUAAAAAAAACUACAAUAUUCUUCUGUAAUAAUUAAUUUAAGAUAUAUUUAUUUAUCCUCCUCAACUAAACGAUCUUCUCUUCGAUAAUGAAUGUCAAUCUUGUGUAUUAGUUGGUUAAAAGUNCCUCCUCAACUAAACGAUCUUCUCUUCGAUAAUGAAUGUCAAUCUUGUGUAUUAGUUGGUUAAAAGUUCUAUUUAGAAGUGAGUUCAUAUAGUGUUAAAACUUUUACAUGAUUUGACGAAGUUUUUGUUGUGGGUUUUUUCACAUAUCUCCAUGAAAUGGUUCUGACACCACAAAUAAACAAGUAAUAUGUUUGUGAUCUGGCAUUACAAGGAUCUGACAAGAAGCAUGCAUCUCUAAGGUAACAAAGUAUAUGUUUGACUCUAUUCUUGUUUCGUAUUGGAUCCAAAAAUGGAGUGGAGAUCGAAAGUGAUGGUGAUUUUGAGCUUCCGACACAGUGGAGAAGGGGUUGACCUACAAGGUUAGCACUUUAACACUCAAGUCAAUAUGUGAGGGAGAAUAGUGAAUUAAAAUUGAACUUGGCGCCUUCUCUAGAUAUAGCAGAGAGUAACAAACUCGCUAUUUGUUAAGAAUAAAAUAUGGAGAGUCGUUGGAUGUGAAUGCAGUGGAAAUCCUUUGUGAUUAUCAAGAGGAGAGUCCUUGUGUGCUGAGGAGAGUCGUUGGAUGUGAAUGCAGUGGAAAUCCUUUGUGAUUAUCAAGAGGAGAGUCCUUGUGUGCUGAAAAUAUUAUGGAAGGAUUGCAAUUCCUUCAGGGUGGUCGAUCGAGGUCAAUAUGAUCGGCCCAAAACAGUUUCCCCUUAAGCAUCUGUCUAUGCAUAGCAAGGCAAGGGUUUCUUACUUCAGCCUCAGCUAUCGACCACCCUUGCAUCUACGCUAGGAAGAGUAAAAGGAAAUGUUCUCAUUUCUUGGGGAUUCACGCAUUUAAUGCGCCAUAUUUCAAACUUCUCUUCGUAAGUGUUAUCAUUACGAAUCAUAGGGACUGAAAUACUCAAGUAUUACGUGCGAGUGAUUUGGUGCAUUUGAAAUGGUAUUGCUUAUUUUUGCAAGCUAGAGUAUAUUCUUGAAGAGUCAGUGUCACUUUUCUUUGCGUCAUUUUCUCAAUUUAACUGUUAUCUUCUUCUUUGACAUUUCACUUUUCUGCAUCAGAAAAGUUAAUGCAUUAUGAAUAAAAAAAAUCACAGAAAUGUGCAAAAAAAUCCUAGAAGAUUGUUAUAUCUUCUUGGGUGGACCUUGUCUACUCUUCUAUCGUUUUUGUCUUUGCCAAAGAUAGGAAUCUUGAUGGAGAUUUUCUUGAAGUUGGUCCAUCUUCGCAUUGGGGUGUAUUAACCCCCCAAACAAUGAUGAAAUGAUAUGUAGUGAGUAUGGAGAUUGUGUCGUUCCAUUUUAUGAAUACAUUUUCUCCAUUUACCUAGAGGUAGAAUGAAAGUGGUGAAAACUCUAUUCUAAAGAAUUCCACCUGAUGGCUCAUUCACAACUUCACCCAGGAAGCUAGGCAUAUGUGAAAUUAUACCAAUAUUGGUGUGAAUACUUACAGGGAAAGCCUUUUGUGACCCUUUUUUUUCUUCUCUUUCAAUGUCAUUAUGGUACUACGACCCAAUCAUAAAGUAAAGGGUUAAUUUCUCUGACGUCAAAUGUUCGAGACUUUGGGGUUCUUCCUGAGUUGCAACCUUUCUAGUAUCAUUUCUUUUUUGUUACCCCUAGCAACCUAUACACCCACACUUUGGUAUAUGUCGUUAUGACCAGGUGGAAGAUAGAUGCACUGAGUUGUUCCCUAAGUAUUGGACGGAAACCUGCUUACUUAUGGGAAAUGGGGUAUAUGUUUAUAAAGAGGGGGACCUUACUAUUGGAUAUAUGUAUUAGAAGAAAUGGGUGAUAAGAUUCAUCGGCGACUUGGGUUACCUUGGUGGCGGCAUACCCUCGGACGACGCUGAUCGAAGACGCUUGUAGUGUCUGUAACUACAAGUUGACGACUACCUCCGGGCAAGAGCCCUUCUUUCAAUAGUUAUUUUUGGUAAGCUUUGGAAACUCUUGGCUUCUUUGUUUGUAGUUUUUCUUACUCUUUAAGUGUUUGCUUAAUCAUGGUUGUGUGCAGAUUUAAUGAAGGAUGAAGUACAAAUUUGGCUUAUAAGGCGGGGAAUAUGGUCGACAGGGAGUGACACCGCUUUUAAUACUCUUCUGAGGUUACAAAGUGUGUCGGGUCUUCCAUCCUGUUCAUUGACAACGGGGUUGGGCUCACGUUCCUCUAAAAACUGCCAGACUCCUUCUUCAAAAGAGGAUCAUCACAUUUGGCCAAUUUGUCUAGGCCUGCUUUGGAGGAAGAAUUGGUGACUCUGCCUCGGUAUACUCUGUGUGCUUCUUCCACUUUGGCCCUUGGUGGAGUUGGUUAAUGGGAAGCUAUUUGGUUUAAUCAGUAACAUGCUGAGAAUCCAUGGUCAGAAAAGAGUGUGCAUAGCGUAACGCUUCUGUGGGAUCUGUACCUGCACGAAAUACAAAUAACUUCUACUUUUCUUAGUGAGAUAAAUGACGUUUUGGCCCCAUCAAUGCCCUUGGCUCUCUGUCUGGUCAGGUGACUCGUCUAGUGAGAAUUGUGGAAAGGAAGGACCAAGCUCAAGUUGUUGAUCAGAGAAAUUUAUUGUCUACUUAAAUAUCUAUUUCAGCAACUCAAAGAGGAUUGGAGUCUCUGUGGCUUGAGAAUGCUUCUCUGACUCAGGGUCUGGAUGACUAUGCAUCCUCCAGUGUUAAGGCAGUUUCACAAUCUUUUAAGAAUGCUUUGUAAAAAUUGGAUCACUUUCAUCAUCCUAUAGUUAUCUUGAGGGAGAAGAUUUGAUUGGAUCAGGGGCUCAAAGAUAUAGAGAUUGUCUCUCUGCUGGAAUAGCCAUGCCACCCACUUUUUUUUGUAUUGUAUGCUGAGUACUUUUUAAUUGAAUAAUAUAUGUGUAUAUAUUAACUUAUUUGGAGUGAGUGAUUUUUUUUUACCUCCAUGAGGUGUAUUUUUAUGAUCAUGAGUGCAUGGCUCUAUAUCUUGUACGAACUUACAAGGUCUUCCAUCAAAGUUUAUUGGAUGUCAUAGGGGUCGUUUCCGGCCAAGGGUCGAUUCCCCUCCGCCCCAGGUGAAAAACUGAUUCGGGGUAAACGUGUGGCCAAACCACUGUGGCCUCUAGAAAUCCGCCCCAGGUGAAAAACUGAUUCGGGGUAAACGUGUGGCCAAACCACUGUGGCCUCUAGAAUGGUUAGCUGCCAUAGUGGAAUAAAUCGUUAUUUCUUGUGGGGAUUUGAUUACUUUAGUCGUACGAGCACAUCAUCUAUGACAACACUCCUAACAUUAGGUGGGGAUUUGAUUUAUUUAGUCGCAUGAGCAAAACGACUAUGACAACACCCUUGGCUUUCAGUGGGGAAUUGAUUAUUGUAAUUUCACGAACAAAAUGUCUAUGACAACACCAUUGGCUUUCGGUGAGGAAUUGGUUGUUGCAGUCACACGUGCAAAGCGUCUGUGGCAUCAUCCCUAGCUUUCUAAUAUGUGAUUUGUGCUACAUGUGAAUUGAUUAUUAUAGUCACGUGUGCAAAGUGUAUGCAACAACACCCCUGAUUCCUUUAUGAUGGGUCUCGAUCUCGUCGGUCGUACCCCAUAUUUAUUGUUAAUGAGCACAACAACAAAAAAUUCAGGAAUUGGCAUAUUUCAUUCAUGAUUGAAAAUAGCUCUUAUGCAUGAGGAGGGUGAUUAUAAAAGUAUAGUGUUUAGUAUAAAACAAGAAAGAAAAUAUAAUCGGGUGGCCUAGCCUCCACUUAUUUCCUUAUUUUCCUUCUUAUGAUUCAACCACAUCUUGGUGGGCAGCUAUUCAUGUCUAGAGCUGAUCGUCAGGGAUGCCACGUUGAUCUCCAUGGUGAAGCACUUUAUUUGGUCUUGUUGGACCGUGUGGUAAAUUCUUUAAUAUCCUUCGGGACAAGUGUUGAUGAUGGUUAUUUCUCCCUGCGUAUUAUGGUAUUUGAACUUAAGGUGGAUAAGCAGAGCUACAACGCCCAACAUGGUUGCAAAAUGGUUUUCCUAGGAUGCAAUUGUAUACGCUCUUGCACGGGGCUACGAGGAAUUGCAAAGUGAUUGUCCGGAUUUCCUUUCAUUCAACCAUUGAAACCAUCAAUUUUACGUAUUUCUAAGGAUAAGUGGUCGUCCUGUUGAAUGCCUACAAAUUUGAGCCUUCAUACAACCAUAAGCUUCCUCUUUUUAGGAUCGUCUUUUCAAUCAACUAAAAGUACAUUAUGUAACAGGAGGUGCUAUUAUCAAUUAAGAUUUGAGAGACAUCAAAAUUCCUGAUUAUGACGGUAAUUUCCAGGGGAAAGAUUUCAUUAUAAAUGUCGCCCCGCCUUUGGAGUCCCAACAUAGGUCGGUCAGGAGUCUUCAUUGAGGUGCUUUCAUAUUUUUUAAGUAUGGUAAGCAUCUUAGCAGUCUUCCUCUUCAUUGUUAACUUAGAUGGAAGGUUUGCUUGGGGUGUUCACACAUUUUUCCUUCCGAUAUUCAAUCGGAAUGGGUGAUCACGUAGAAGGUCAUUCUUGAAAAUCAAGAACUCUGGGUCUUCUUUGACUCCUUUCACCUCAACAACAACUUGCAUGAAACACUCAAUAUAAGACCAUAAGAUCUCUUUCUUCCCUUGAAUGAUUCCUCUCAAGGUAACAACAAUCACCAACUCUCUCUUUCAAAUACUAAAGUGCACGGAGAACCGCUUAUAGAAAUCAGUCUAUGAAUAAAUGCUCUUGUUCGGUAAAUGGUUGAACCACAACUUGGUCGCACCGACCCGAUUUAACUCAAAAAACUUGCAUUUGAAGGCUUCAUCUAUAUUGAAAUAAUUCAGUUAAUCAUUGGCGAGCUACACGUGCUCGUUCAGGUCUCCCUUUACAUCAUACUCACUUAACUUAGGCGGUUUCUCCGUGGAUUUUGGUAUUUUGCUUUCCAAAAUCUAGAUGCACAAGGGAUGCUUCUGUUAAACCUUCAACAACUUUUUUUCUACCUAAUCUAAGAGAGGAACAUGACUGUCUCGUCUCCCUUGGGACUUUGGGGAGUACUUUGAUGCUUCUUUCCACUCUGAUGAUUCUUAGACUUAAAAUCUACAUCUCUCUUUGUCACAAUCGACUUUGGAUCGACAAUGUAAGUCCUUUUGGAUAUAGCAUGUUGAACGGUUUUCCCUCGCUGAGAUGUGUUAUGGAGGUUUCUUCGAGGCGAAGCAAGCUUUCUCCAAUUGAUUAUAUGUUUUAUUUUCGCACGAUGUUAUAGAUGUUGUUGCACAGCUUAUUAGCGUCUUGUAGUCAAUGGUUUGCUCGCAGGCGUUGGAAUUCGGGUAGGGUUUCAGGUUGCAUUACUGGCGAAGGCAAUUAGAAAAAUUAAUCUACUUGAGAAUUCUGGACUAGAUAUGGAUGCAACAUAAUCUCUGCUUCUGGAUUUGUAAUGUUUUUCUAAGGAGGUGAAGGUAGAGGUGGUUUAUUAACAAUUACUUGAGUUACAGUCAUAUAAGCUGGAACAACUUCUUGCGCAGUGGCGCAUGUCGCAUCCGCGAAAAACAACCGGCGAGACUCAAAUAAAACAAACAAACAGAGUCGCCACUGCGCGUUAUUUAUCCCAAGAUAGGGAAAGGAAACGCUCAGAAAAACCUGGAAAGACACGGUUCACGACCAGAGAAAAGGUAACGGAGAGGUCGGUUACGUGGGGAAGGUAAUAACACCCCCUCACGCACGUCGUUACUCGACGAGUCCACGUUUUAAAAUUAAUAGGUUGCUAAAAACAGAACACAAGUCAUUACACCGGCACGCCAAAAUGACUACACAGGUGGGUGAUGAGGAAUGGCAUCGCAUAAGGCAUCGACACCUUCAGGCCUCGUAUCUCAUCUGGAACGAGAAUCAGAGCGCCGUAGUCGCUACGUACCGCCAAACAAACAGACAAACAAAGGCAAACAUGAGCCCGACUAGCCAAUCUGGGUUGUAUGUCCGGCAUCCGACCCAACUGACCAAAGAUGGCAACUAGGAGCCCGACAACCAUUAAUGGAAUUACGUCAGCAUCGAACCAAAACGCCCAAUCAGAUAACAAAAAACACACGCAAAAAGAAAAAAAAGUGCCUCGGGGUGGUCUCCCGAACCACCUGCCUGACAAUCCGUCUGGAACGGCGAAUCAUGGAGGCGAUUAGUUCCCCUGAAAGGGAAAGUUUCAGCCAGAAACCGCGGGAGACACGACUACCAGAGGAGCUGUACUCGGUCCUUAGUGUUGUCAUUGCAUCGUUUACCACUUAGUUUCAGGUUCUAACUUCCUACCUUGCUAUAAUGCAAACUAAUCCAUCCAGGAAAGUCAAGCAUACAAGCAUACAAACAUACAUCAAUGAGAACAGGCCAUCUCACAGAAUUACCAUAGCACCCACUCUCACCACACAAUCAAGCGCGCUUCAAACAAUGGGUUUGACUGCUCGCAGGCAUCUGCUUAACAUGUGUAUCGGGCGCUCUUAAACCUUGCCAUUACGAGUGCUAAUGGUGAAGCAGAUGAAAAGGUGAAGUGAGGAUAGGACCUCACAGCUUUAUCCCUGACCAGGGAGAGCUUAGACAAGAGAGCGUGGGUCCAGAAUGAAGGGACCCUUCUCACGCCGAAAGACUCUGACUCGAUUGUGCAACAACACGCGAUUUCGGGCGUUGAAUCUCAAUGCCUACAACAUAUGUAAUGGGAGCAAGGAGAAAACUCACAGAAUUAGUGGGGAUAGACUGGCGUAUCCCUAACUUCCACCAAUUGCCUCAUAGAAGGUGUACCUAGGCUUAGCAAAAUGUAUAUCAAUUCACGCAUUUGCUUUAAGGCAGGGACUUCGAAAUUGCCCCGGGCCCAAAAAUAACAGGCCGGUUCCCAGGGAUACAUGAAGUUGAGAGAGUACCUCAAUGCAAAAUGCUAGCAGCAAAGCCAAAGCAAGCAAGCUUACUUAAGAGAACUGAGCAACUAAAGUGGUACCUGUACAAGCUAACCGGUAGUAACUCGACAACCAAAUCAGAAAAACAACAUAAUGUUAAUCAGUCUAGGACUUACAGAGCAAGGCACAAAAGGCAAGUAUGAGCUCCAAAGACCCAGCUUCACAACCUACAAAACAUGGUUAUGUAGUGUACAAUUCAAGAAAUCAAUUUCAAUCAACUGGAUCAUUCUCUGAACCUUGUGCUAUUCAUCGCUUGAAAAAUCAAGCAAAUAUAGCACCAGCAUAGGCCAACGGUCCUGUUGCGCAAAAAGCAAUUGAAUAAUUCCUAUUAGAGCGCAGGUGUGAUUCAAGCAAACUCAAAUUUGUGUCAAACAAAGACCAACACAAUUUAGUCCAACAAUGCCAUUCAUUCAUAUUUAUUCUUGUCAUAACCAAAAAUUUCAAUCUGAUGCUCCAAUGUGAACAAAAGAAAUCAAUGACUAGCAAUGCUUGCAUCAUUCCAUAUCAAAAACAAUUCCAAAAUCCCUCAAUAAUUACACCUGAACAUGGCCUAACUCAGUGAUAGCACACCAAAUUCAGACUAGGGGAUGGAACCAUAUCAUCGAAAUCAACAAAAACCGGACACAAAAUUAAUGCUUCUCUAACCACAAUAUCAACACAUGCAUAUUCAAAUGUAGUAAGUCAAUGAAACAAAAGAAUGAGGGAUGGCGACCAAACAGGGAUCGUCACAUCAUGUGGUUACUACUCUUGACAAUUUCUGUUAUCAUACAAAACACAUG
This 23503-nucleotide long non-coding RNA is filed under the name Lathyrus oleraceus (garden pea). RNAcentral's name for it is "Pisum sativum (pea) long non-coding RNA (PSAT_LNC030975)". Lineage: Eukaryota; Viridiplantae; Streptophyta; Magnoliopsida; Fabales; Fabaceae. The record is from RNAcentral.